This 581-nucleotide ribosomal RNA is filed under the name Hoplolaimus seinhorsti. Its description in RNAcentral is "partial 28S ribosomal RNA". It matches the Rfam family "Eukaryotic large subunit ribosomal RNA", at positions 598 to 910 of the family's 3401-position model. The record is from RNAcentral. Lineage: Eukaryota; Metazoa; Nematoda; Chromadorea; Rhabditida; Hoplolaimidae.
AGCAUUGCUUCUGCCGGGUGAACCGUGGUGCAUUUGCAGGUGGAGUGCGCCGAGGCGCCUGAGUCAGCGGCAUGAGCUUGGUUCUGAGGCCAGCCUUGCAAAAGGUCUGGUACCCGUGCUGGGGGAGUGCUGUUUGACUUGGGUGUGGUAUGAGGCAAUGGUUUCGGGCUCGUGUGGGUGCCGAGCUGGCAGUCGGUGGCGGUCGCAUGCGACACGUGCCAGCGGUCAGUUCGGUCCUGCUCGAGCUCUCACAGCCCGUCCUCGGUGUAAAAGGCAGUCAUCUGUCCGACCCGUCUUGAAACACGGACCAAGGAGUUUAGCGUGUGCGCGAGUCAUUGGGUGUUGAAAACCCAAAGGCGCAAUGAAAGUGAAGGUGUCCCUUGUGGAACUGAUGUGUGAUCCUGGUCACCUCGGUGCAUCCGGGCGCAACAUAGUCCCGUCCUGACCGCUUGCGGUGGGGCGGAGACAGAGCGUACGCGCUGAGACCCGAAAGAUGGUGAACUAUUCCUGAGCAGGAUGAAGCCAGAGGAAACUCUGGUGGAAGUCCGAAGCGAUUCUGACGUGCAAAUCGAUCGUCUGAC